This 741-nucleotide ribosomal RNA is filed under the name uncultured Bacteroidales bacterium. Its description in RNAcentral is "bacterial SSU rRNA". It matches the Rfam family "Bacterial small subunit ribosomal RNA", at positions 28 to 757 of the family's 1533-position model. Lineage: Bacteria; Pseudomonadati; Bacteroidota; Bacteroidia; Bacteroidales. The record is from RNAcentral.
GAUGAACGCUAGCUACAGGCUUAACACAUGCAAGUCGAGGGGCAUCAGUUUGGUUUGCUUGCAAACCAAAGCUGGCGACCGGCGCACGGGUGAGUAACGCGUAUCCAACCUGCCUCAUACUCGGGGAUAGCCUUUCGAAAGAAAGAUUAAUAUCCGAUAGCAUAUAUUUCCCGCAUGGGUUUUAUAUUAAAGAAAUUCGGUAUGAGAUGGGGAUGCGUUCCAUUAGUUUGUUGGCGGGGUAACGGCCCACCAAGACUACGAUGGAUAGGGGUUCUGAGAGGAAGGUCCCCCACAUUGGAACUGAGACACGGUCCAAACUCCUACGGGAGGCAGCAGUGAGGAAUAUUGGUCAAUGGACGCGAGUCUGAACCAGCCAAGUAGCGUGAAGGAUGACUGCCCUAUGGGUUGUAAACUUCUUUUAUAUGGGAAUAAAGUGGUCCACGUGUGGAUUUUUGUAUGUACCAUAUGAAUAAGGAUCGGCUAACUCCGUGCCAGCAGCCGCGGUAAUACGGAGGAUCCGAGCGUUAUCCGGAUUUAUUGGGUUUAAAGGGAGCGUAGGCGGAUUGUUAAGUCAGUUGUGAAAGUUUGCGGCUCAACCGUAAAAUUGCAGUUGAUACUGGCAGUCUUGAGUGCAGUAGAGGUGGGCGGAAUUCGUGGUGUAGCGGUGAAAUGCUUAGAUAUCACGAAGAACUCCGAUUGCGAAGGCAGCUCACUGGAGUGGUACUGACGCUGAUGCUCGAA